Molecule: long non-coding RNA, 1007 nt
Organism: Biomphalaria glabrata
Lineage: Eukaryota; Metazoa; Mollusca; Gastropoda; Planorbidae
Exons: 3
Source: RefSeq, a predicted model, not a curated record
GAGCCAGAUAUGACUGGAUAGUAAAAUUUGAUAUUUGGCCGGAGCCGGAUACCUAAGUGUCUUGUAAAAAACUUGUGUUGCUGAACACUUUUAUGUUAAAUAACAUACCUAUAUUGCAUGACGGACGGAUGGACAGAUACACUACACAAUUAAGAUUUGCCCUGGCCAUCACUUCCUGUCAGUACUACUUGUUCUCCUGUUACUGUUAGAAGGAGUAAUUAGAGAUGAAUGUCUGUAAUGUAUUUGAUGCAUCAAAACAUGUAAAUAUCUGACAUUUUUAAAAUUUUCAAAAUGCACUAUUUAACUUAGUUCCUGUCAUUCUGGUUUGAGCUCAGUUCAUUGUUUUAUCUUUAUUUCAAUAUAUUUGCAACACUCUUUUUUUUUCAACAACUAUUCUAUUCUAAUGUUGCAUGGCUAUACCAUCUUAAAUUUCUUCAGCACUUUCUCUUACAUGUGUCCUUUGUAGAUGUGAAUUUUAAAAUAUGACUGAAUUAUGAAUGGCUGCCUGGUCCUGUGGUAUGUAAUCUGGACUGUUGAUGGUCCCAGGUCCAAACAUAACAAAAAAAAAAGCUAGAAUUACCUGGAUCAACACCAUGUUUGAUUAGUAAACUUUGUUGAUCCACGCUGGAAAUAAAAUAAAAAAAAAAAAAUAAAUACUUUACACUUUAAACACAUUAACUUGCUAGACUACUUAACAGUGAUAGAAAGAAUAUACUUGAGAUGUAAACAAAUUCCAUAUACUAAAAUCUCAUGCCCAGGAAAUUCAAUUGUAUCAAACAUUAAUCAAAGAAAAAGCUUCAGUUGAAAGAACAUUUAUAAAAAGAUAAUGUAAAAACUAGAGGCAUUUUUUGUUGGUAGUUUGUUUUUUGUUUCUUUAAGAUCCAAAUGAGGUGAACCAAGAGGUUUAUGACUGCUCUAGAGAUGACAUUAAAAUAAUUUUUUUUUAAUAUAUUUAAGAAUUUUAAAGAUACAAUCUUUUCAAUAAAAGUAUCAUUAUAUUUCUUAAA